RNAcentral lists this ribosomal RNA (449 nucleotides) under uncultured bacterium. RNAcentral's name for it is "SSU rRNA". It matches the Rfam family "Bacterial small subunit ribosomal RNA", at positions 26 to 518 of the family's 1533-position model. The record is from RNAcentral.
AGAGCGAACGCUGGCGGCAGGCUUAACACAUGCAAGUCGAGCGGGCGUAGCAAUACGUCAGCGGCAGACGGGUGAGUAACGCGUGGGAACAUACCUUUUGGUUCGGAACAACCCAGGGAAACUUGGGCUAAUACCGGAUAAGCCCUUACGGGGAAAGAUUUAUCGCCGAAAGAUUGGCCCGCGUCUGAUUAGCUAGUUGGUGAGGUAACGGCUCACCAAGGCGACGAUCAGUAGCUGGUCUGAGAGGAUGAUCAGCCACAUUGGGACUGAGACACGGCCCAAACUCCUACGGGAGGCAGCAGUGGGGAAUAUUGGACAAUGGGCGCAAGCCUGAUCCAGCCAUGCCGCGUGAGUGAUGAAGGCCCUAGGGUUGUAAAGCUCUUUUGUGCGGGAAGAUAAUGACGGUACCGCAAGAAUAAGCCCCGGCUAACUUCGUCGCCAGCAGCCGC